GCGCCGUUAGCUCAGUCGGUAGAGCAGCUGACUCUUAAUCAGCGGGUCCGGGGUUCGAAACCCUGACGGCGCAC
RNAcentral lists this transfer RNA (74 nucleotides) under Mycolicibacterium mageritense. RNAcentral describes it as "tRNA-Lys". It matches the Rfam family "tRNA". Rfam says of the family: Transfer RNA (tRNA) molecules are approximately 80 nucleotides in length. Their secondary structure includes four short double-helical elements and three loops (D, anti-codon, and T loops). The record is from RNAcentral. Lineage: Bacteria; Bacillati; Actinomycetota; Actinomycetes; Mycobacteriales; Mycobacteriaceae.